This 412-nucleotide ribosomal RNA is filed under the name Lactobacillus sp. AbxANB3. Its description in RNAcentral is "bacterial SSU rRNA". It matches the Rfam family "Bacterial small subunit ribosomal RNA", at positions 73 to 469 of the family's 1533-position model. Lineage: Bacteria; Bacillati; Bacillota; Bacilli; Lactobacillales; Lactobacillaceae. The record is from RNAcentral.
AUUCACUUCGGUGAUGACGCUGGGAACGCGAGCGGCGGAUGGGUGAGUAACACGUGGGUAACCUGCCCUAAAGUCUGGGAUACCACUUGGAAACAGGUGCUAAUACCGGAUAACAACAAUAGCUGCAUGGCUAUUGCUUAAAAGGCGGCGAAAGCUGUCGCUAAAGGAUGGACCCGCGGUGCAUUAGCUAGUUGGUAAGGUAAUGGCUUACCAAGGCGACGAUGCAUAGCCGAGUUGAGAGACUGAUCGGCCACCUUGGGACUGAGACACGGCCCAAACUCCUACGGGAGGCAGCGGUAGGGAAUCUUCCACAAUGGGCGAAAGCCGGAUGGAGCAACGCCGCGUGUGUGAAGAAGGUUUUCGGAUCGAAAAGGUCUGUUGUUGGUGAAGAAGGAUAGAGGUAGUAACUGGC